RNAcentral lists this small nuclear RNA (287 nucleotides) under Erinaceus europaeus (western European hedgehog). RNAcentral describes it as "7SK RNA". It matches the Rfam family "7SK RNA". From Rfam's summary of the family: 7SK was discovered as an abundant small nuclear RNA in the mid-70s but a possible function has only recently been suggested. The record is from Rfam by way of RNAcentral. Lineage: Eukaryota; Metazoa; Chordata; Mammalia; Eulipotyphla; Erinaceidae.
AGAUGUGAGGGAAACCAGUUUGUGACAUCUAAAAAAACCCAUUGGUGGGCUGGGUUUAUCAGCUGAUCUGGCUAGCUAGGUGGGUUUCCCCAUCAUCCCUCACUACCCCAUGUAUGUCCCUUCUGAGGCUGCUUGUUUGGUCUCCAACUAAAAGCAGACUUGUCUUCCAUUGAGGGUAUCUGAGUACCUGUGCUUGACUACUAGAAACUCUAAACAAGCCCUUCAGGUCCAGAAGAGACCUAUGCAGCCCUCAGCCCAGAACCUUGAAGCUGAGGUGUCAGGGCCUG